This 327-nucleotide ribosomal RNA is filed under the name uncultured eukaryote. RNAcentral's name for it is "partial 18S ribosomal RNA". It matches the Rfam family "Eukaryotic small subunit ribosomal RNA", at positions 1470 to 1796 of the family's 1831-position model. The record is from RNAcentral.
CCCUUAGAUGUUCUGGGCCGCACGCGCGCUACACUGAUGAAUGCAACGAGCUUAUAACCUUGGCCGAAAGGUCUGGGUAAUCUCCAAAUUUCGUCGUGAUGGGGAUAGAUUAUUGCAAUUACUAAUCUUCAACGAGGAAUGCCUAGUAAGCGCAAGUCAUCAGCUUGCGUUGAUUACGCCCCUGCCCUUUGUACACACCGCCCGUCGCUCCUACCGAUUGAAUGGUCCGGUGAAGCGUUCGGACCGUGGCCUUUGGACGGUUCGCCGUCUGUUGGCUGCGGGAAGUUCGUUAAACCUUAUCAUUUAGAGGAAGGAGAAGUCGUAACA